AUUGAACGCUGGCGGCAGGCCUAACCCAUGCAAGUCGAGCGAGCGGCGGACGGGUGAGUAAUGUAUGGGGACUGCCCGAUAGAGGGGGAUAACUACUGGAGACGGUAGCUAAUACCGCAUACUAUCGGAUAACCCAUAUGGGAUUAGCUAGUAGGUGAGGUAAUGGCUCACCUAGGCGACGAUCCCUAGCUGGUCUGAGAGGAGGAUCAGCCAAACGGGAACGGAGACACGGCCCAGACUCCAAGGGAGGCAGCAGUGGGGAAUAUUGCACAAGGGGCGCAAGCCUGAUGCAGCCAUGCCGCGUGUAUGAAGAAGGCCCUAGGGGUGUAAAGUACGUUCAGUCGGGAGGCGUUACCGGCAGAAGAAGCACCGGCUAACUCCGUGCCAGCAGCCGCGGUAAUUC
RNAcentral lists this ribosomal RNA (403 nucleotides) under uncultured bacterium. Its description in RNAcentral is "partial 16S ribosomal RNA". It matches the Rfam family "Bacterial small subunit ribosomal RNA", at positions 29 to 526 of the family's 1533-position model. The record is from RNAcentral.